RNAcentral lists this ribosomal RNA (259 nucleotides) under uncultured bacterium. RNAcentral's name for it is "partial 16S ribosomal RNA". It matches the Rfam family "Bacterial small subunit ribosomal RNA", at positions 793 to 1055 of the family's 1533-position model. The record is from RNAcentral.
GUCCACGCCCUAAACGAUGAAUACUCGAUGUUGGCGAUAUACAGUCAGCGUCUAAGGGAAACCGUUAAGUAUUCCACCUGGGGAGUACGUCCGCAAGGAUGAAACUAAAAGAAAUUGGCGGAGGUCCGCACAAGCGGUGGAUUAUGUGGUUUAAUUCGAUGAUACGCGAGGAACCUUACCAGGGCUAGAAUGUAAUUGGAAUAUAGAGGAAACUUUAUAGCUAGCAAUAGCCGGUUACAAGGUGCUGCAUGGUUGUCGU